GAGUUCAUCCGACUCCCAAACCCCUGUGAACAUACCGCACGUUGCUUCGGCGGAGCGCCCCGGCGCCCCACCCCCCAGGGGGCGGCGGCCCGGACCCAAGGCGCCCGCCGGGGGACCCAAACACUGCAUUCGCCGCCGGCGGAAUCUACGUCUGAGUGAUUUACAAAUGAAUCAAAACUUUCAACAACGGAUCUCUUGGCUCU
Molecule: unclassified non-coding RNA, 203 nt
Filed under: rhizosphere metagenome
Description: partial ribosomal RNA internal transcribed spacer region
Source: RNAcentral